RNAcentral lists this ribosomal RNA (492 nucleotides) under uncultured bacterium. RNAcentral's name for it is "partial 16S ribosomal RNA". It matches the Rfam family "Bacterial small subunit ribosomal RNA", at positions 29 to 507 of the family's 1533-position model. The record is from RNAcentral.
AGUGAACGCUGGCGGUAGGCCUAACACAUGCAAGUCGAACGGCAGCACAGUAAGAGCUUGCUCUUACGGGUGGCGAGUGGCGGACGGGUGAGGAAUACAUCGGAAUCUACUUUUUCGUGGGGGAUAACGUAGGGAAACUUACGCUAAUACCGCAUACGACCUACGGGUGAAAGCAGGGGAUCUUCGGACCUUGCGCGAUUGAAUGAGCCGAUGGCGGAUUAGCUAGUUGGCGGGGUAAAGGCCCACCAAGGCGACGCUCCGUAGCUGGUCUGAGAGGGUGAUCAGCCACACUGGAACUGAGACACGGUCCAGACUCCUACGGGAGGCAGCAGUGGGGAAUAUUGGACAAUGGGCGCAAGCCUGAUCCAGCCAUACCGCGUGGGUGAAGAAGGCCUUCGGGUUGUAAAGCCCUUUUGUUGGGAAAGAAAAGCAGCAGGUUAAUACCCCGCUGUUCUGACGGUACCCAAAGAAUAAGCACCGGCUAACUUCGUG